UUAAGAGGCUGUCCAAGUAAAUAUCAGGCAAAUCCUAUGAAAUGGGUGGCACAACAUAAUUUUUUUCCCACUGAAUUUUUGGUUCCAAUGCAAUGUUUAUAUCAUACAAAGGAUAUAUAUGUCAAAGAUAUUUUUGAAUCAACAGUGGAUGGCUCAGAAAAUGAUAUGAAAGUUCACUAACAACGCAACAAAAUUUUGUACAAAAUAAAGAGUUAUCUCCCCUUUUCAAUGAAU
RNAcentral lists this long non-coding RNA (234 nucleotides) under Mytilus galloprovincialis (Mediterranean mussel). The record is from RNAcentral. Lineage: Eukaryota; Metazoa; Mollusca; Bivalvia; Mytilida; Mytilidae.